AUUGAACGCUGGCGGCAUGCCUUACACAUGCAAGUCGAACGGCAGCGGACCUUCGGGUGCCGGCGAGUGGCGAACGGGUGAGUAAUAUAUCGGAACGUACCUUUCAGUGGGGGAUAACGUAGCGAAAGUUACGCUAAUACCGCAUAUUCUGUGAGCAGGAAAGCAGGGGAUCGACAAGACCUUGCGCUGAUUGAGCGGCCGAUAUCAGAUUAGCUAGUUGGUGAGGUAAAGGCUCACCAAGGCGACGAUCUGUAGCGGGUCUGAGAGGAUGAUCCGCCACACUGGAACUGAGACACGGUUCAGACUCCUACGGGAGGCAGCAGUGGGGAAUAUUGGACAAUGGGCGAAAGCCUGAUCCAGCCACGCCGCG
This 370-nucleotide ribosomal RNA is filed under the name uncultured bacterium. RNAcentral describes it as "bacterial SSU rRNA". It matches the Rfam family "Bacterial small subunit ribosomal RNA", at positions 30 to 401 of the family's 1533-position model. The record is from RNAcentral.